GCCUGCAGGUCAUGACAUUUUUCCGCUUUGCAAAAGGAUUAUCCACUAGCAGUUGAUUCCACACUGCUCGACAUCUGGGCCAGUCACCUGGGUUGUAAAAGGAUCAAUGCGAACCCAGAGUAAGGAGAAGAUAGAGGCAAGGAGAAUUGACCAUACAACAACAAUUGUAGGUGUCCGGUUCUGCCGUCCCAUUAAACCCUUAAGGAAGGGAUAUAGAUGGAUAAUCACCCAGAAAGCAAAGAAUAGCUUGCCAAAGAGAGGACCCCAAGAUUGAUAGCCACUGUUAAUGGCAUAGGAAAUUCCAGCAACUACUCCAACCAGAUUAAUUAUAAGGAGAGUGGUUGGUGGAAUGAGUAGGGUGGUCCAUUUGAACAUAUAAAGCUCAGCAAAAUCUCCAUCUUCAUCAGAUGCUUUAGAAGUGACAGUGAAAUUGGUAUCUAUUCCAGCAAGGACUUUCAACAGGCCUUGGAAAACAGCAAAAAGGUGAGCUGAUACGCCUCCAAUAACCCAGAAUUGUUCAUUUCUCCACCACUCAUCAAUUCCAACACCACUCCAUCUCAUUUCCAAAAUACCAGUAGCAAAGAUAGAAAGAAAGAGGGAUAUGAACCAGAUACUGGCAAUGUUACUGAUCUGUGGAAUAAUGAACUUUCCAGUAAGAAGACAGACGGCUGGCAAUGUACAAUACGCGAGAAGAGGAAUGGAUGUGACAGGAUAAAUUGUGGUAUUGACAUAAGCAAAUCUCUCAAGCCAUUUUAGUCUUCCACCAUAGCCAUACCAUAUGGGGCAGUGGCGGCUAAAAAGAAUCUCAACUGAACCUAAAGCCCAGCGAAGCACUUGAUUUAGACGAUCAGAGAGGUUAAUAGGUGCAGAACCUUUAAAGGCAGCAAGAUGUGGCAUGCAAUAGAUUGAUCUCCAACCACGAGCAUGCAUCUUGAAUCCUGUAAGGAUAUC
This 951-nucleotide unclassified non-coding RNA is filed under the name Hevea brasiliensis (rubber tree). Lineage: Eukaryota; Viridiplantae; Streptophyta; Magnoliopsida; Malpighiales; Euphorbiaceae. The record is from RNAcentral.